GACGAACGCUGGCGGCGUGCCUAACACAUGCAAGUCGAGCGAAUGAAGUUCCUUCGGGACUGGAUUUAGCGGCGGACGGGUGAGUAACACGUGGGCAACCUGCCUCAUAGAGGGGAAUAGCCUCCCGAAAGGGAGAUUAAUACCGCAUAAGAUUGUAGUACCGCAUGAUACAGCAAUUAAAGGAGCAAUCCGCUAUGAGAUGGGCCCGCGGCGCAUUAGCUAGUUGGUGAGGUAAUGGCUCACCAAGGCGACGAUGCGUAGCCGACCUGAGAGGGUGAUCGGCCACAUUGGGACUGAGACACGGCCCAGACUCCUACGGGAGGCAGCAGUGGGGAAUAUUGCACAAUGGGGGAAACCCUGAUGCAGCAACGCCGCGUGAGUGAUGACGGCCUUCGGGUUGUAAAGCUCUGUCUUCAGGGACGAUAAUGACGGUACCUGAGGAGGAAGCCACGGCUAACUACAUG
RNAcentral lists this ribosomal RNA (464 nucleotides) under uncultured bacterium. Its description in RNAcentral is "partial 16S ribosomal RNA". It matches the Rfam family "Bacterial small subunit ribosomal RNA", at positions 28 to 507 of the family's 1533-position model. The record is from RNAcentral.